This 1414-nucleotide long non-coding RNA is filed under the name Aphidius gifuensis. RNAcentral describes it as "uncharacterized LOC122860287, transcript variant X3". Lineage: Eukaryota; Metazoa; Arthropoda; Insecta; Hymenoptera; Braconidae. The record is from RNAcentral.
GCUGCAGUGGUAGGUUAUAAAAAUACCAAAAAAAAACAUCAACAAGACACUAAUAUAUGACAGAUGUUCAACACUGACAUUUUGUUUUGAUAAUCAUAUCAAUAUUAUAUAAUUUAUCCAAAUUCAAUUAAUUCCAAGAAACAAAAAAGUACAUAAAUUAAAAUCAUGAGUGAGACCAGGACCAGCUACACAGAUUGGGCGAUCCGUGCUGGUGUAUGUGGGACAAUAGCCUUUUUUGGAGUUCCAAUGAUAGUCAAAGCUGUUGGUUUCAAAUCAGCAGGUAUCCUCGCAGGAUCAAAAGCAGCUGGUGUAAUGUCAGCAAUGGCAACUGGUGGAACAACUGCUUCUGGAGGAGUAGUUGCAAGUUGUCAAAGUAUUGGUGCAGUCGGGGCAAUUGCCAAAAAAACAGCUGUUGUAAUUGGUUUAAUGAUGGUACCUCUUGCAGCAUCAGUGCCAUCGGUUGAAGAUUGCAAACCUAAAGCAUCAAAAGCAUAUGAUUUGGCAAAGAGUGGAGCUGGUGGUGCAGUUUCUCUGACAAAGUAUGCUUACUCUACACAUGCACCUCAAGUAUAUGAGUUAGCAAAGAGUGGAGUUAAUCAAGUUGGUAAUCUUGCAAGUGGUGCUGCUUCAUUGACAAAGUCAGUUUACUCUUUAAUAACUUCAUCUAGAGUUACGAUUAAUACUGCUGCUGCGGCGGUUCCUUGUUGAACACAGUCAGGACCACCAACAAUCAAAUUAUUUUCAGGGUAAUAUGACUCCAAUUAAAUGAUACGAUUAUUAUGCGAAUUUUAUUUUGAUAAACCAAUCUGAAAAAUUCUUGUAAAUUGAACUGUUGGAGUGGUUGGUCUUGGUUUCCAGUAAAUUCUUAGUCAUUCACAAGUUAAAAGUUAAAACUGGGAUUCCCAGUUUGAUUGGAGACCCUGAGUGGGGUGAUGCCUAGACCUAUAUAAACUACUCCUCUGGCUCUCAAAGGACACAAUCAAAAUCAACGUCAAAGUCGAUAAAUCAACAUCUUAAAAAAAAAAAAUUAAAAUGUCUAAAGGUCAACAAAACACUCAACAAGGUGGCAAAGGUGGUGGCCUUGGAUUCGGAACUCAAGGGAUCAAAGCUGACUCUCAGGCUGCUGGCAUAAUGCGUGAAGGUGCUGUCAAGGGAGAAGUGCCUAAAGGAGGCAUAGUCUCUCAGUUGCAGUCUCAUGGUGCUAAAAAACCAUUUUAAACACCAACUUAUAUUAUCUUACAUCAAUAUACAUGGCACAACUCAUUCCAAUUUAUUAUUAUUUACAUUAAUAAACUUUUUUUUUACAAAUCUUUGAAAUUAACUAUUCAAACAUUCAUAUUAUUGAAAAUGUAAACUUUUCUUUUUUUAAAUUGAUAUAAUAAUAAAAAUGAAAUAAAAAACAAUAAUUAAAUAA